GGGCCUCUCGCGUCAGGAUAUGCCUAGGUGGGAUUAGCUAGUUGGUGAGGUAAGGGCUCACCAAGGCGACGAUCCCUAGCUGGUCUGAGAGGAUGAUCAGCCACACUGGAACUGAGACACGGUCCAGACUCCUACGGGAGGCAGCAGUGGGGAAUAUUGCACAAUGGGCGCAAGCCUGAUGCAGCCAUGCCGCGUGUGUGAAGAAGGCCUUCGGGUUGUAAAGCACUUUCAGUCGUGAGGAAGGCGGGUACGUUAAUAGCGUAUUCGUUUGACGUUAGCGACAGAAGAAGCACCGGCUAACUCCGUGCCAGCAGCCGCGGUAAUACGGAGGGUGCGAGCGUUAAUCGGAAUUACUGGGCGUAAAGCGCAUGCAGGUGGUUUGUUAAGUCAGAUGUGAAAGCCCGGGGCUCAACCUCGGAAUAGCAUUUGAAACUGGCAGACUAGAGUACUGUAGAGGGGGGUAGAAUUUCAGGUGUAGCGGUGAAAUGCGUAGAGAUCUGAAGGAAUACCGGUGGCGAAGGCGGCCCCCUGGACAGAUACUGACACUCA
RNAcentral lists this ribosomal RNA (549 nucleotides) under Vibrio alginolyticus. Its description in RNAcentral is "bacterial SSU rRNA". It matches the Rfam family "Bacterial small subunit ribosomal RNA", at positions 208 to 749 of the family's 1533-position model. The record is from RNAcentral. Lineage: Bacteria; Pseudomonadati; Pseudomonadota; Gammaproteobacteria; Vibrionales; Vibrionaceae.